Long non-coding RNA from Esox lucius (northern pike), 387 nucleotides. RefSeq lists it as uncharacterized. The record is from RefSeq and is a predicted model, not a curated record. NCBI's taxonomy places the organism in Eukaryota, Metazoa, Chordata, Actinopteri, Esociformes, Esocidae. The transcript is spliced from 3 exons.
AAGAAUCUCAGCCCACCACAUACAUUUUUCAGAACAUAGUUCCUUAAUAGUUUGUAAAAAAAAAAAGGGAACAUCAUUUCUAAGACAGUCCCACAGUUCAUACUGGUAGCAGCCAUGUCGAUGUGUCAUGCCGGCGCUCCACAGGGUUCAUAGUUUAGGUGAACAGAGCAUGGAGACACUGAGGAGCCACUGAGGAGACAAGCUUUUUUCCUUUAGCAGAUCAGACAGGUCUGGCAGGGAGCAGUAAGACCACUGGAAAAUGCCAAUACAUUGAAUCCAACAAGCAUCUCAACCACAUUCUCCAGGCAUAAACAAUUCCAUGUGGCCUGCCUAUCCAUUCUGCUGUGUGGAAUUGCAUAAGCUCAUCAUUUUGUACCUUAUGGGAUU